This 503-nucleotide ribosomal RNA is filed under the name uncultured fungus. Its description in RNAcentral is "eukaryotic LSU rRNA". The record is from RNAcentral. Lineage: Eukaryota; Fungi.
GUCCCCCAAAUACAGUGGCGGUCCCGCCGCAGCUUCCAUCGCGUAGUAGCUAACACCUCGCGACUGGAGAGCGGCGCGGCCACGCCGUAAAACACCCCAACUCUUCUGAAGUUGACCUCGAAUCAGGUAGGAAUACCCGCUGAACUUAAGCAUAUCAAUAAGCGGAGGAAAAGAAACCAACAGGGAUUGCCCCAGUAACGGCGAGUGAAGCGGCAACAGCUCAAAUUUGAAAUCUGGCUCUCGGGCCCGAGUUGUAAUUUGUAGAGGAUGCUUUUGGUGAGGUGCCUUCCGAGUUCCCUGGAACGGGACGCCAUAGAGGGUGAGAGCCCCGUCUGGUUGGACGCCGAACCUCUGUAAAGCUCCUUCGACGAGUCGAGUAGUUUGGGAAUGCUGCUCUAAAUGGGAGGUAUAUGUCUUCUAAAGCUAAAUACCGGCCAGAGACCGAUAGCGCACAAGUAGAGUGAUCGAAAGAKAAAAGAACUUKAAAAGAGAGUUAAACAGUA